RNAcentral lists this transfer RNA (72 nucleotides) under Candidatus Jorgensenbacteria bacterium GWA1_49_17. Its description in RNAcentral is "tRNA-Gln". It matches the Rfam family "tRNA". Rfam says of the family: Transfer RNA (tRNA) molecules are approximately 80 nucleotides in length. Their secondary structure includes four short double-helical elements and three loops (D, anti-codon, and T loops). Further hydrogen bonds mediate the characteristic L-shaped molecular structure. tRNAs have two regions of fundamental functional importance: the anti-codon, which is responsible for specific mRNA codon recognition, and the 3' end, to which the tRNAs corresponding amino acid is attached (by aminoacyl-tRNA synthetases). tRNAs cope with the degeneracy of the genetic code in two manners: having more than one tRNA (with a specific anti-codon) for a particular amino acid; and 'wobble' base-pairing, i.e. permitting non-standard base-pairing at the 3rd anti-codon position. The record is from RNAcentral. Lineage: Bacteria; Candidatus Joergenseniibacteriota. RNAcentral also lists the same sequence under 1 other name.
UGGGAGGUGGUCUAACGGUAGUGACGCCAGGCUUUGAACCUGGAAAUGAAGGUUCGAUUCCUUCCCUCCCAG